This 218-nucleotide long non-coding RNA is filed under the name Mytilus galloprovincialis (Mediterranean mussel). Lineage: Eukaryota; Metazoa; Mollusca; Bivalvia; Mytilida; Mytilidae. The record is from RNAcentral.
UUAAAAUAGUUGAAAUGUACGACAUGUCUACAAACAUUUGUGAAAUAAUGGUCAACCAAAUCGUGAUCAUGGUGAUGGUAACCAAUUUUGUUGUUGUAAAUGAUGAAUUCCUCAAUACAGACUUCAGGAUUAAAAUGUUGUGCCCCGUUAAAUCAAAAACAUAUAUAUAAUCAUGGUACCUAUAUUUAACCCAUUCCUUAAACCAAACAGUAAGUCCC